RNAcentral lists this ribosomal RNA (253 nucleotides) under uncultured bacterium. RNAcentral's name for it is "partial 16S ribosomal RNA". It matches the Rfam family "Bacterial small subunit ribosomal RNA", at positions 524 to 776 of the family's 1533-position model. The record is from RNAcentral.
UACGAGGGGGGCAAGUGUUGUUCGGAAUUACUGGGCGUAAAGGGAGCGUAGGCGGGCUCUUAAGUUGGAUGUUUAAAACCGGGGCCUAACCCCGGCGUGGCAUCCAAAACUGGGAGUCUUGAAUGGGACAGAGGCCAGUGGAAUUAGAGGUGUAGCGGUGGAAUGCGUAGAUAUCUCUAAGAACACCAGUUGCAAAGGCGGCUGGCUGGGUCCACAUUGACGCUGAGGCUCGAAAGCGUGGGGAGCAAACAGG